Molecule: ribosomal RNA, 432 nt
Filed under: Caulobacter sp. E7
Lineage: Bacteria; Pseudomonadati; Pseudomonadota; Alphaproteobacteria; Caulobacterales; Caulobacteraceae
Description: bacterial SSU rRNA
Rfam family: Bacterial small subunit ribosomal RNA
Source: RNAcentral
CACCUCCUUAGAGUUUGGAAUCCUGGCUCAGAGCGAACGCUGGCGGCAGGCCUAACACAUGCAANUCGAACGGAUCCUUCGGGAUUAGUGGCGGACGGGUGAGUAACACGUGGGAACGUGCCCUUUGGUUCGGAACAACUCAGGGAAACUUGAGCUAAUACCGGAUGUGCCCUUCGGGGGAAAGAUUUAUCGCCAUUGGAGCGGCCCGCGUCUGAUUAGCUAGUUGGUGGGGUAAAGGCCCACCAAGGCGACGAUCAGUAGCUGGUCUGAGAGGAUGAUCAGCCACAUUGGGACUGAGACACGGCCCAAACUCCUACGGGAGGCAGCAGUGGGGAAUCUUGCGCAAUGGGCGAAAGCCUGACGCAGCCAUGCCGCGUGAAUGAUGAAGGUCUUAGGAUUGUAAAAUUCUUUCACCGGGGACGAUAAUGACGG